ACUACUAUUCGUCUGGCCAGCAGGGGGCAUCACAGGCUCGUUCGCGGUGACGGGGUUUUGCGUCCACGGCUUGCAAGGACCGGAAUUGCAAUCGCUCGGUCUGCAUUCCGUUUCUACUUGGAAGCAGAAUUAAGAGUGUGUCCUCUGGAUGGGCUUGCCUGAGCGUGACUCCUGCCUUCGUGGCACAUAUCCCAGCUCCUCUGCAUCCUGUGCCAUCUGCAAAGUGGAGGCUCACCGAGAAUCUUCUCUGCAACUGAGGAAAUAUAAUAAACAGUGCUGCAGACUUUUAUCUGGAGGAAAAUCUUCACCAGUCUCCACAGAACAAAACUGAAAAAUCUGUUGGUACAGCCUGCCCUUUGCAGCAGAAGAGAGAAGCAGACAGGAAAGGCUGCAGCUGUUUAGCUACUUCUGUGAAUCCCUGUGCUCUCUCAAGUCUUAUACUCAGUGGGUUGACAAUAUCAUGGGCAUCUUGCAGAUUAUAUCAAAAAACAAAGAAAAAUUUGCUCUACUUUGGGGAAAAAGAAAAGGCAACUGGAAGCCCAUGAUUUAUCAGAAGACAGCCAAAGUGCUGAGGCAUUACUAGAGGACAAGGGAGAUACCAACAUCCAGAGAAAGCUGAUGUAGCAGUGUAGUGAGAUUCUCCUUCAUUUCCAAGGUAUGGACUCUUCUACUCACACUGUGUCCAGCUUGCUCUGGAAUACCUCAGAUUAAGCCACAAGGAUGCAAAUUAUUAUGUAUAUGCCCACUACUAUGAACUAAGCUACCCCAACUGCUAACUGUAGACAACAUCUUUUUGGAAACUCCAAACCAGAAUUUUUCUAAAGCCAACAGCUGCGGUCCAGAGGCACAGGUUCCACACUGUGGAGUCAGCUGCCCUUGAAGCAACCAUGUCGUACUAAACAUUUGCAGGCUUUUGUUCUUGUCAAGACAACAUUUUAGCUAGUGUUUAUAUUUUAUCAAUGUUGAGUUGGACCUAAAGAGGACUUCAGAUGUUGAAAAAGGAUGUUUCUAGGUUACCUGCAGAUACUUUGCCAUUUUGAUAUUUAAGGACAUCUUGGAAUUAGUCUCCCAAGAAACACUGUGGGGGCUGAGGACUGAACUGAAAAGGAAAACUUCAAUUAAGAUCCUUUUUAUUUGUAAUUUUAUUAAUGAAGAAUUUUUAUUUCAAACAAUUUAAAGAAAAUAUUGAAUAUCUUGUGCUUACUAUUUACUAUGAAACCAUUUUUUUCUAGAUUAUGUUAGUUUGGAUGGUGUUAUAGAGAUGUGUCAACACAUGGGGCUUAGAUGUUGAUUUAAAUACUUUCUGUCCUGUACUCACAUUAAAACGUCACCCUUAACAUGGCUUCCAUAGCUUCACAAAAAAAUUAUCCACAGGUUAUGCAGAAACGUGCCCAUGGCUUUUAAAACUACAGUGGAUUGUUAUGAUAAUAUUUACUAUAUUAGAUGUUGGAUGAUAUCUCAUUGUGGUUUUUACUUAGCUUUUUUUUUUAUAGGUAGUAUUUUAUCCAUUUCUCUAUUAACCAUUUGCAUGCCUUUUGAAGAAUGCAUAAUCAGAUCUUUUGCCCAGUUUUACACAAUAACAUCUGUUUUCUUCUUACUAGUUCAGUUCCUUGAUCUUUGUUGC
Long non-coding RNA from Onychomys torridus (southern grasshopper mouse), 1624 nucleotides. RefSeq lists it as uncharacterized. The transcript is spliced from 3 exons. The record is from RefSeq and is a predicted model, not a curated record. NCBI's taxonomy places the organism in Eukaryota, Metazoa, Chordata, Mammalia, Rodentia, Cricetidae.